This 2460-nucleotide ribosomal RNA is filed under the name human gut metagenome. RNAcentral describes it as "bacterial LSU rRNA". It matches the Rfam family "Bacterial large subunit ribosomal RNA", at positions 14 to 2495 of the family's 2925-position model. The record is from RNAcentral.
AGGGCGUAUGGGGAAUGCCUAGGCACACUCCGGCGAAGAAGGACGCAGCAAACAGCGAAAUGCGACGGGAAGCGGUAAGCACGCAAAGAUCCGUCGAUAUCCGAAUGGGGGAACCCGCAUGGAGUCAAAUCCAUGGAUCACAUGUUGAAUACAUAGACAUGAUGAGGCGAGACGCAGGGAACUGAAACAUCUAAGUACCUGCAGGAAGAGAAAAUAAGAAUGAUUUUCUGAGUAGCGGCGAGCGAAAGGGAAAGAGCCCAAACCGAUCUGAGGAUCGGGGUAGUAGGAUCAUCAAUAAAUCUGACAGAGGAUCAUAGAGGAAUCACAUGGGAAGGUGAGCGAGAGAGGGUGAGAGCCCCGUACUCGAAAUGAGAGACUGGAGAGAGAUGACACCUGAGUAGGGCGGGACACGAGAAAUCCUGUCUGAAUCAGCCGGGACCAUCCGGCAAGGCUAAAUACGAGAGAGUGACCGAUAGUGAACCAGUACCGUGAGGGAAAGGUGAAAAGAACCCCGGGAGGGGAGUGAAAGAGAACCUGAAACCAUAUGCCUACAAGAAGUCAGAGCCCGUUAAAGGGUGAUGGCGUGCCUUUUGUAGAAUGAACCGGCGAGUUACUGUAUGGAGCGAGGUUAAGCAGGAUAUGCGGAGCCGAAGCGAAAGCGAGUCUUAAGAGGGCGAAAGUUGCAUGCAGUAGACCCGAAACCGGGUGAUCUAGCCAUGACCAGGUUGAAGUUGGGGUAAAACCCGAUGGAGGACCGAACCGACCCCCGUUGAAACGUUGGCGGAUGAGUUGUGGCUAGGGGUGAAAUUCCAAUCGAACCCGGAGAUAGCUGGUUCUCCCCGAAAUAGCUUUAGGGCUAGCGUCGAGGUAGAGAGUUGCGUGAAGGUAGAGCACUGAAUAUGUGAUGGCCCCAUCUCGGGGUACUGAGCAUAAUCAAACUGCGAAUGUCACGGAAACAUACUCGGCAGUCAGACAGCGGGUGAUAAGGUCCGUUGUCAAGAGGGAAACAGCCCAGACCAUCAGCUAAGGUCCCAAAAUGUAUGCUAAGUGGAAAAGGAUGUGGAGAUGUACAGACAACUAGGAGGUUGGCUCAGAAGCAGCCAUCCUUUAAAGAGUGCGUAACAGCUCACUAGUCGAAUGACUCUGCGCCGAUAAUUUACCGGGGCUAAGCAUACUACCGAAGCUAUGGAUCCCAAGGGAUGGUAGGGGAGCGUUCCAUGAACGGAGAAGUACGACCGAAAGGACGUGUGGAGAUCAUGGAAGAGAGAAUGCCGGUGUGAGUAGCGGAACGUGGGUGAGAAUCCCACGCACCGAAAACCCAAGGUUUCCAGAGGAAGGUUCGUCCGCUCUGGGUAAGUCGGGACCUAAGGCGAGGCCGAGAGGCGUAGUCGAUGGACAACAGGUAGAGAUUCCUGUACUCAUAUAUAUGUGAAGGAAUGACGGAGAGAGGAAGCUGCAGCCAGCGGCUGGAAGAGCUGGUGCAAGCGAGAUAUCGGGAUGGCAGGCAAAUCCACCAUCCGAAACGAGAAGGCGUGAAGCGUACGGAAAGCUAAGGCGAGUACGGAAGGCAGUGGAGGAGCUUCCAAGAAAAGUUUCUAACGAAAGUAUAUGUGACCCGUACCGAAAAUGGACACACAUGGGUGAGGAGAGAAUCCUAAGGUGAGCGAGAGAACUAUAGCUAAGGAACUCUGCAAAAUGACUCCGUAACUUAGGGAGAAGGAGUGCUCAUAGAGAUAUGAGCCGCAGUGAAACGGCCCAAGCGACUGUUUACCAAAAACACAGCUCUCUGCUAAGCCGCAAGGCGAAGUAUAGGGGGUGACGCCUGCCCGGUGCUGGAAGGUUAAGGGGAGGGGUUAACGCAAGUGAAGCCCUGAACUGAAGCCCCAGUAAACGGCGGCCGUAACUAUAACGGUCCUAAGGUAGCGAAAUUCCUUGUCAGGUAAGUUCUGACCCGCACGAAAGGCGUAACGAUUUGGGCGCUGUCUCAGCUGUAGACUCGGUGAAGUCUUAGUACCUGUGAAGAUGCAGGUUACCCGCGACUAGACGGAAAGACCCCAUGGAGCUUCACUGCAGGUUGAUAUUGGGAUUUGAUGCAGCAUGUACAGGAUAGGUAGGAGGCAAGGAGAUGGAUACGCCAGUAUUCAAGGAGCCGCUGUUGGGAUACUACCCCUGUUGUAUUGGAUUUCUAACCGGACGACGUAAAGCCGUUGACGGGACAGUGUCAGUCGGGCAGUUUGACUGGGGCGGUCGCCUCCCAAAGAGUAACGGAGGCGCCCAAAGAUACCCUCAGCUUGGAUGGAAACCAAGCGCAGAGUGCAAAGGCAAAAGGGUGUUUGACUGCGAGACCCACAAGUCGAGCAGGGACGAAAGUCGGGCUUAGUGAUCCGGCGGUGCUGAAUGGAAAGGCCGUCGCUCAACGGAUAAAAGCUACCCUGGGGAUAACAGGCUGAUCUCCCCCAA